UUCACCCCUCUCACCUAAGCAG
Molecule: microRNA, 22 nt
Filed under: Homo sapiens (human)
Lineage: Eukaryota; Metazoa; Chordata; Mammalia; Primates; Hominidae
Description: hsa-miR-6802-3p
Source: miRBase by way of RNAcentral